GUUGAUGAUAGCAUCAUUAAUAGAAAACUGAUUGAAUGAUUGCUCAAAACCUCAUCUUUUCAAGUUACAACUGUGGAUUUUGGAAGUAAAGCUUUAGAAAUUCUUGAGGAUUACAUGAAGACAUGAACUCUAAUCAACCCUCUGUGUCUCCAAAUAUUAACCAGGAAGUUGAAGUGAAUCUAAUAAUCAUAGAUUAUUCUAUGUCUGGAAUGACAGGCUAUGAUUUGCUC
Cynara cardunculus var. scolymus (artichoke) is the source of this 230-nucleotide long non-coding RNA. RefSeq lists it as uncharacterized. Lineage: Eukaryota; Viridiplantae; Streptophyta; Magnoliopsida; Asterales; Asteraceae. The record is from RefSeq and is a predicted model, not a curated record. The transcript has 3 exons.